Molecule: microRNA precursor, 71 nt
Filed under: Ovis aries (sheep)
Lineage: Eukaryota; Metazoa; Chordata; Mammalia; Artiodactyla; Bovidae
Description: miRNA (ENSOARG00000021343.1)
Source: RNAcentral
UGGUGACCAGCUCUCGUCAUAGUUUGCCUGGGACUGAGGGAGUUUCCAGGACAUGGGGAACGUGAUGAAGC